UACGUAGGUGGCAAGCGUUGUCCGGAAUUAUUGGGCGUAAAGCGCGCGCAGGCGGUCUACUUAAGUCUGAUGUGAAAGCCCACGGCUCAGCCGUGGAGGGUCAUUGGAAACUGGGAGACUUGAGUACAGAAGAGGAGAGUGGAAUUCCGCGUGUAGCGGUGAAAUGCGUAGAGAUUUGGAGGAACACCAGUGGCGAAGGCGACUUUCUGGUCUGUGACUGACACUGAGGCGCGAAAGCGUGGGGAGCGAACAGG
RNAcentral lists this unclassified non-coding RNA (254 nucleotides) under uncultured Bacillaceae bacterium. RNAcentral describes it as "contains 16S-23S intergenic spacer region". It matches the Rfam family "Bacterial small subunit ribosomal RNA", at positions 524 to 776 of the family's 1533-position model. Lineage: Bacteria; Bacillati; Bacillota; Bacilli; Caryophanales; Bacillaceae. The record is from RNAcentral.